RNAcentral lists this ribosomal RNA (1308 nucleotides) under Triticum aestivum (bread wheat). RNAcentral describes it as "partial small subunit ribosomal RNA". Lineage: Eukaryota; Viridiplantae; Streptophyta; Magnoliopsida; Poales; Poaceae. The record is from RNAcentral.
AUGUUCGAGUAUGUAAAUGUUGUCAGCAAGAUGUUUGAUAGUGAGGCUGAAGGUUAUGAAUUCUACAACAAAUAUGCUCUCGAAAAAGGUUUUAGUGUGAGGAAAAGCUACGUUGAGUGGGAUGGAUCCAACAAAUACAUAAUUUUAAGGAAAAUUGUGUGUAGUCGUCAAGGGUUUCGCGAAGAUAAGCACAUGAAAAGAAAGAUGGAAGAUAGAAAAAGGAGGCCACGAAGUUUAACUCGUGUUGGGUGUAAUGCUAAAUUGGUCAUUACGAGACAGGAGGAAACCGGUCGGUGGUUUGUCAAGGAUUUCGUCGAUGAGCACAGCCAUCCUCUAGCCCCACGGAAUCUUUCUUGUCUGCUGCGUUCGCACAGACGAAUUAGCGAUGAGCAGAAAGCGGACAUUGCGGACAUGGAAAAAUGUGGGAUCCGCAAAUACCGUAUUAUGGAUAUUUUGUGCUUUCAAUACGGUGGAUUUGAUAAGGUUGGAUGCAUAAAGAGGGACGUUUAUAAUUUCUGCCAUGCUAAUAAGCAGGAGACAAUCAGUGCCGGUGAUGCUAAAACGGUGAUCAUGCACAUGAUGGCGAGGCGAGAGCGAGAUGUGGAUUUUUUCUUCAAGUACUUGGUAGACGAGCAUGGCCAUCUGAAGGGACUGUUCUGGGCUGAUAGUCAAUCGCGACUUGACUACGAGGCUUUCGGAGACGUCAUUGUUUUCGAUAGCACAUACAGAACCAACAAAUACAAUCUGCCAUUCGUGCCUUUUGUCGGGUUGAAUCACCACCGCAGCACUGUUAUAUUUGGCUGUGGUAUAAUUUCUCAUGAAACAAGCCAGUCAUACGAGUGGAUGUUGCGGACCUUUUCUGAUUGCAUGGCACAGAAGCAUCCGAUAUCUGUGAUCACAGAUGGGGACCUUGCAAUGCAGAGAGCAAUAAGGAUGGUCUGGCCAGACUCAAACCGUAGACUAUGUAUAUGGCACAUUCAGCAGAACAUUGUACGCCAUCUGCAUGAUGAUGACGUAAAGGAGGAAUUCAGAUCUUUCAUUUAUGAUACUUCUUCCAUUAAAGAGCAUGAGAUAAAAUGGAUACAAUUCUUACAACGGAAUAAAGUAACCAGUGAGGAGUCUUGGCUGCAUCAGAUGUAUCAGAUGAGAAAGUUGUGGUGUGCUCCAUAUCUUGAGGGGCGUUGUUUCCUAGGAUUGAGCAGCAAUCAGAGGAGUGAGAGCUUGAACUCUGUGCUACAUACGCAUCUUGAGGGUAAGAUGUCGUUGUUUGAAAUGCUAGAGCACUAUGAGCGUUGCCUUGCGUCAUGA